UGAAAGUUUGAUUCUAGCUCUCAAUUUGAAUUUGAAAUUAUUUUACAUAUAUAUAUUUAUGAAAUAUUAAGAUUCUAAAUGAUUAUUUCAUAACGUAGUACUUAAUAUUAUAUAUUAAUAUAUUUAGAUAUAGUAAUUUUCUAAUGGAUGGACAAAAUUCGUGCCAGCAGUUGCGGUUAUACGAUUCAUUCAAUUUAAAUAUAAAAGUUUCAGUUAUAAUUAAUUUUGAUUACAAAUUUUAUAAAUUUUGGUGAAAUAUAUUUUAAUUAAUAAUUCAUAACUUAUAUCUGAGAAAUUCUUACAUUAAACUAGGAUUAGAUACCCUAUUAUUAAGAAUAUAAAAUUUAUAACUUGAUUAUUAUUAGUUAAGAUCUUUAAAUUCAAAGAAUUUGGCGGUAAUUUAUAUUUUUAGAGGAACCUGUCCUAUAAUCGAUAGUCCACGAUAUAUUAUACUUUAUAUUGACUUGUAUAUCUCUGUCAAGAAUGUUCUAUAAGGAGAUUUUCAACCAUUUUAUUAUUAUAAUGUCAGGUCAAGGUGCAGUUUAUUAUAAAGAAGAGAUGGGUUACAUUUUAACAUAAAUGGAUAAUAUUUUAUUAUAAAAUAUGAUGAAAUUGGAUUUAAUAGUAAAUUUAAUUGAUUAAUUAAAUUGAAAGAAGCUCUAAGUUAUGCACACAUCGCCCGUCACUCUCACUUUAAAGUGAGAUAAGUCGUAACAAAGUAGUUGUACCGGAAGGUGUGGCUAGAAUGA
Molecule: non-coding RNA, 749 nt
Filed under: Platypedia putnami
Lineage: Eukaryota; Metazoa; Arthropoda; Insecta; Hemiptera; Cicadidae
Source: RNAcentral